GAGCACGCGCGUGUGGCAUAUCAAUAAGCGGAGGAAAAGAAACUAACAAGGAUUCCCCUAGUAACGGCGAGUGAAGCGGGAAGAGCUCAAAUUUGAAAUCUUCAAGGUUUUACCUUGACGAAUUGUAGUCUAAAGAAGUGUUUUCGGUUAGAGGAGUAGUAAAAGUUCUUUGGAAUAGGACAUCAUAGAGGGUGAGAAUCCCGUAUUUGACUAUUCUUUCUAGCUUUGUGAUACACUUUCAAAGAGUCGGAUUGUUUGGGAAUGCAGUCCAAAAUGGGUGGUAAAUUUCAUCUAAAGCUAAAUAUUGGCGAGAGACCGAUAGCGAACAAGUACCGUGAGGGAAAGAUGAAAAGAACUUUGAAAAGAGAGUUAAUCAGUACGUGAAAUUGUCAAAAGGGAAGCGUUUGACACCAGUGUUGUUUUUCCGAAAAUCAAUUAUGAAUGGCUUGAUUUUAAGUUUCAUGACCUUAAAAGCUUGUUUCUUAUUUUUCAUGUCUUUCGUAAUGCACUUUUCGGUUAACAAGUCAACAUCAAUUUCUUUUGUUGUAAAAGGUUAAGAGGAAGGUGGCUUUACUUUUCGGCGUAAGUGUUUAUAGCCUUGUACCUCUGCAAUCGGAGAGAUUGAGGUCUGCAGCGUAGAUCCUUCGGGGUUAGAUACAUUUGUGCUAAGUUAUAGCUUUUCAUAGACAACUUGUUGACUAUGUUUAGUCUUGUAGCUUACUCGCUUAUGCUAUUUUACCUACGCUUAGGAUGUUGA
RNAcentral lists this ribosomal RNA (757 nucleotides) under uncultured Neocallimastigales. RNAcentral's name for it is "partial large subunit ribosomal RNA". It matches the Rfam family "Eukaryotic large subunit ribosomal RNA", at positions 19 to 629 of the family's 3401-position model. Lineage: Eukaryota; Fungi; Neocallimastigomycota; Neocallimastigomycetes; Neocallimastigales. The record is from RNAcentral.